This 752-nucleotide ribosomal RNA is filed under the name uncultured bacterium. RNAcentral's name for it is "bacterial SSU rRNA". It matches the Rfam family "Bacterial small subunit ribosomal RNA", at positions 74 to 819 of the family's 1533-position model. The record is from RNAcentral.
AGAAGCUUGCUUCUUUGCUGACGAGUGGCGGACGGGUGAGUAAUGUCUGGGAAACUGCCUGAUGGAGGGGGAUAACUACUGGAAACGGUAGCUAAUACCGCAUAACGUCGCAAGACCAAAGAGGGGGACCUUCGGGCCUCUUGCCAUCGGAUGUGCCCAGAUGGGAUUAGCUAGUAGGUGGGGUAACGGCUCACCUAGGCGACGAUCCCUAGCUGGUCUGAGAGGAUGACCAGCCACACUGGAACUGAGACACGGUCCAGACUCCUACGGGAGGCAGCAGUGGGGAAUAUUGCACAAUGGGCGCAAGCCCGAUGCAGCCAUGCCGCGUGUAUGAAGAAGGCCUUCGGGUUGUAAAGUACUUUCAGCGGGGAGGAAGGGAGUAAAGUUAAUACCUUUGCUCAUUGACGUUACCCGCAGAAGAAGCACCGGCUAACUCCGUGCCAGCAGCCGCGGUAAUACGGAGGGUGCAAGCGUUAAUCGGAAUUACUGGGCGUAAAGCGCACGCAGGCGGUUUGUUAAGUCAGAUGUGAAAUCCCCGGGCUCAACCUGGGAACUGCAUCUGAUACUGGCAAGCUUGAGUCUCGUAGAGGGGGGUAGAAUUCCAGGUGUAGCGGUGAAAUGCGUAGAGAUCUGGAGGAAUACCGGUGGCGAAGGCGGCCCCCUGGACGAAGACUGACGCUCAGGUGCGAAAGCGUGAGGAGCAAACAGGAUUAGAUACCCUGGUAGUCCACGCCGUAAACGAUGUCGACUUG